Molecule: transfer RNA, 71 nt
Filed under: Marmota monax (woodchuck)
Lineage: Eukaryota; Metazoa; Chordata; Mammalia; Rodentia; Sciuridae
Description: tRNA.Ala
Source: RNAcentral
GAGGUUGUGGCUCAGCGGUAGAGCACUUACCUAGCACACAUGAGGCCCUGGGUUCACUCCUCAGCACCACA